UACGUAGGGGGCGAGCGUUGUCCGAAGUUACUGGGCGUAAAGCGCGCGUAGGCGGGGGGUUAAGUGAGAGGUGAAAGGCUGGGGCUCAACCUCAUGCAGUGCCUCUCAUACUGGCCUUCUUGAGGGCGGUAGGGAGAAGUGGAAUGGCUGGUGUAGCGGUGAAAUGCGUAGAUAUCAGGAGGAACACCGGUGGCGAAGGCGGGUCUCUGGGCCGUAACUGACGCUGAGGAGCGAAAGCAUGGGGAGCGAACAGG
Molecule: ribosomal RNA, 254 nt
Filed under: uncultured bacterium
Lineage: Bacteria
Description: partial 16S ribosomal RNA
Rfam family: Bacterial small subunit ribosomal RNA
Source: RNAcentral